This 709-nucleotide ribosomal RNA is filed under the name fungal sp. RNAcentral's name for it is "eukaryotic LSU rRNA". The stretch from base 486 to 709 matches the Rfam family "Eukaryotic large subunit ribosomal RNA", at positions 1 to 228 of the family's 3401-position model. The record is from RNAcentral. Lineage: Eukaryota; Fungi.
CGGAGGGAUCAUUACCGAGUUUACAACUCCCAAACCCCUGUGAACAUACCAAUUGUUGCCUCGGCGGAUCAGCCCGCUCCCGGUAAAACGGGACGGCCCGCCAGAGGACCCCUAAACUCUGUUUCUAUAUGUAACUUCUGAGUAAAACCAUAAAUAAAUCAAAACUUUCAACAACGGAUCUCUUGGUUCUGGCAUCGAUGAAGAACGCAGCAAAAUGCGAUAAGUAAUGUGAAUUGCAGAAUUCAGUGAAUCAUCGAAUCUUUGAACGCACAUUGCGCCCGCCAGUAUUCUGGCGGGCAUGCCUGUUCGAGCGUCAUUUCAACCCUCAAGCCCCCGGGUUUGGUGUUGGGGAUCGGCGAGCCCUUGCGGCAAGCCGGCCCCGAAAUCUAGUGGCGGUCUCGCUGCAGCUUCCAUUGCGUAGUAGUAAAACCCUCGCAACUGGUACGCGGCGCGGCCAAGCCGUUAAACCCCCAACUUCUGAAUGUUGACCUCGGAUCAGGUAGGAAUACCCGCUGAACUUAAGCAUAUCAAUAAGCGGAGGAAAAGAAACCAACAGGGAUUGCCCUAGUAACGGCGAGUGAAGCGGCAACAGCUCAAAUUUGAAAUCUGGCUCUCGGGCCCGAGUUGUAAUUUGUAGAGGAUACUUUUGAUGCGGUGCCUUCCGAGUUCCCUGGAACGGGACGCCAUAGAGGGUGAGAGCCCCGUCUGG